RNAcentral lists this ribosomal RNA (516 nucleotides) under uncultured bacterium. RNAcentral describes it as "partial 16S ribosomal RNA". It matches the Rfam family "Bacterial small subunit ribosomal RNA", at positions 28 to 523 of the family's 1533-position model. The record is from RNAcentral.
GACGAACGCUGGCGGCGUGCCUAACACAUGCAAGUCGAACGGAGUGUUUAUUUAUAAACACUUAGUGGCGAACGGGUGAGUAACGCGUAGACAACCUACCCUCUAGAUGGGGACAACACCGCGAAAGUGGUGCUAAUACCGAAUGUUGUAAUGUUGUUGCAUAAUGAUAUUACUAAAGGUGGCCUCUAUAUAAAAGCUACCGCUAGAAGAUGGGUAUGCGUCUGAUUAGCUAGUUGGUGAGAUAACAGCUCACCAAGGCAAUGAUCAGUAGCCGGUCUGAGAGGAUUAACGGCCACACUGGGACUGAGACACGGCCCAGACUCCUACGGGAGGUAGCAGUGGGGAAUCUUCCGCAAUGGACGAAAGUCUGACGGAGCAACGCCGCGUGAGUGAAGAAGGUUUUCGGAUCGUAAAGCUCUGUCUUCAAGGACGAAUGUAGAUAUUGUGAAUAAUGAUAUUUAAUGACGGUACUUGAGGAGGAAGCCACGGCUAACUACGUGCCAGCCGCCGCAGUAA